UACGAAGGGGGCUAGCGUUGCUCGGAAUCACUGGGCGUAAAGGGUGCGUAGGCGGCUUUUUAAGUUUGGUGUGAAAUCUCCCGGCUCAACUGGGAGGGUGCGCCGAAUACUGAGAGGCUAGAGUGUGGGAGAGGAAAGUGGAAUUCCUGGUGUAGCGGUGAAAUGCGUAGAUAUCAGGAGGAACACCGGUGGUGUAAACGGCUUUCUGGACCAUAACUGACGCUGAGGCACGAAAGCGUGGGUAGCAAACAGG
This 253-nucleotide ribosomal RNA is filed under the name uncultured bacterium. Its description in RNAcentral is "partial 16S ribosomal RNA". It matches the Rfam family "Bacterial small subunit ribosomal RNA", at positions 524 to 776 of the family's 1533-position model. The record is from RNAcentral.